UAGGGAAUCUUCGGCAAUGGACGAAAGUCUGACCGAGCAACGCCGCGUGAGUGAAGAAGGUUUUCGGAUCGUAAAACUCUGUUGUUAGAGAAGAACAAGGACGUUAGUAACUGAACGUCCCCUGACGGUAUCUAACCAGAAAGCCACGGCUAACUACGUGCCAGCAGCCGCGGUAAUACGUAGGUGGCAAGCGUUGUCCGGAUUUAUUGGGCGUAAAGCGAGCACAGGCGGUUUCUUAAGUCUGAUGUGAAAGCCCCCGGCUCAACCGGGGAGGGUCAUUGGAAACUGGGAGACUUGAGUGCAGAAGAGGAGAGUUGAAUUCCAUGUGUAGCGGUGAAAUGCGUAGAUAUAUUGAGGAACACCAGUGGCGAAGGCGGCUCUCUGGUCUGUAACUGACGCUGAGGCUCGAAAGCGUGGGGAGCAAACAGG
This 429-nucleotide ribosomal RNA is filed under the name Gemmatimonadota bacterium. Its description in RNAcentral is "Gemmatimonadetes bacterium partial 16S ribosomal RNA". It matches the Rfam family "Bacterial small subunit ribosomal RNA", at positions 355 to 776 of the family's 1533-position model. The record is from RNAcentral. Lineage: Bacteria; Pseudomonadati; Gemmatimonadota.